UGGGGAAUAUUGGGCAAUGGGCGAAAGCCUGACCCAGCAACGCCGCGUGAAGGAAGAAGGCCUUCGGGUUGUAAACUUCUUUAUCAGGGACGAAGGAAGUGACGGUACCUGAUGAAUAAGCCACGGCUAACUACGUGCCAGCAGCCGCGGUAAUACGUAGGUGGCAAGCGUUAUCCGGAUUUACUGGGUGUAAAGGGAGCGUAGACGGCAUGGCAAGUCUGAAGUGAAAUGCGGGGGCUCAACCCCUGAACUGCUUUGGAAACUGUCAGGCUGGAGUGCAGGAGAGGUAAGUGGAAUUCCUAGUGUAGCGGUGAAAUGCGUAGAUAUUAGGAGGAACACCAGUGGCGAAGGCGGCUUACUGGACUGUAACUGACGUUGAGGCUCGAAAGCGUGGGGAGCAAACAGGAUUAGAUACCCUGGUAGU
Molecule: ribosomal RNA, 424 nt
Filed under: uncultured Lachnospiraceae bacterium
Lineage: Bacteria; Bacillati; Bacillota; Clostridia; Lachnospirales; Lachnospiraceae
Description: bacterial SSU rRNA
Rfam family: Bacterial small subunit ribosomal RNA
Source: RNAcentral